GCAUCGUAUAAUGGCUAUUACCUCAGCCUUCCAAGCUGAUGAUGCGGGUUCGAUUCCCGCUGCCC
This 65-nucleotide transfer RNA is filed under the name Phaeomonas parva. It matches the Rfam family "tRNA", at positions 5 to 66 of the family's 71-position model. From Rfam's summary of the family: Transfer RNA (tRNA) molecules are approximately 80 nucleotides in length. Their secondary structure includes four short double-helical elements and three loops (D, anti-codon, and T loops). The record is from RNAcentral. Lineage: Eukaryota; Pinguiophyceae; Pinguiochrysidales; Pinguiochrysidaceae. RNAcentral also lists the same sequence under 2 other names.